GGAAGUAAAGUCGUAACAAGGUUUCCGUAGGUGAACCUGCGGAAGGAUCAUUAUUGUAUAACCGAGGUGCGAGGGCUGUCGCUGACCCGAAAGGUCGUGCACACCCGAGUGCCCCCACACACAUCCAUCUCACCCCUAUGUGCACCACCGCGUGGGUCCCCCUUUGGCUUGUUCGGAGGGGGGCUUACGUUUUCACACAAACUUUGUAUGCAGUGUAGAAUGUAUUUUUUGUUUUUGCGAUCACGCAAUCAAUACAACUUUCAACAACGGAUCUCUUGGCUCUC
This 284-nucleotide unclassified non-coding RNA is filed under the name plant metagenome. RNAcentral's name for it is "partial contains small subunit ribosomal RNA, internal transcribed spacer 1, and 5.8S ribosomal RNA". The stretch from base 1 to 53 matches the Rfam family "Eukaryotic small subunit ribosomal RNA", at positions 1778 to 1831 of the family's 1831-position model. The record is from RNAcentral.